RNAcentral lists this ribosomal RNA (497 nucleotides) under uncultured bacterium. RNAcentral's name for it is "partial 16S ribosomal RNA". It matches the Rfam family "Bacterial small subunit ribosomal RNA", at positions 28 to 507 of the family's 1533-position model. The record is from RNAcentral.
GACGAACGCUGGCGGCGUGCCUAAUACAUGCAAGUUGAGCGAUGAAGCUUGGUGCUUGCACCAAUUUGAAGAGCAGCGAACGGGUGAGUAACGCGUGGGGAAUCUGCCUUUGAGCGGGGGACAACAUUUGGAAACGAAUGCUAAUACCGCAUAACAACUUUAAACAUAAGUUUUAAGUUUGAAAGAUGCAAUUGCAUCACUCAAAGAUGAUCCCGCGUUGUAUUAGCUAGUUGGUGAGGUAAAGGCUCACCAAGGCGAUGAUACAUAGCCGACCUGAGAGGGGAGUCGCCCACGUUGGUCUUGAAACACGGCCCAACCUACUGGGGGAGGCAGCAGUAGGGAAUCUUCGGCGAUGGACGAAAUUCUGACCGAGCAACGCCGCGUGAGUGACGAAGGUUUUCGGAUCGUAAAACUCUGUUGGUAGAGAAGAACGUUGGUGAGAGUGGAAAGCUCAUCAAGUGACGGUAACUACCCAGAAAGGUACGGCUAACUACGUG